UGGGGAAUCUUGCGCAAUGGGCGAAAGCCUGACGCAGCCAUGCCGCGUGAAUGAUGAAGGUCUUAGGAUUGUAAAAUUCUUUCAGUAGGGACGAUAAUGACGGUACCUACAGAAGAAGCCCCGGCUAACUUCGUGCCAGCAGCCGCGGUAAUACGAAGGGGGCUAGCGUUGCUCGGAAUUACUGGGCGUAAAGGGAGCGUAGGCGGACAUUUAAGUCAGGGGUGAAAUCCCGGGGCUCAACCUCGGAAUUGCCUUUGAUACUGGGUGUCUUGAGUAUGAGAGAGGUAUGUGGAACUCCGAGUGUAGAGGUGAAAUUCGUAGAUAUUCGGAAGAACACCAGUGGCGAAGGCGACAUACUGGCUCAUUACUGACGCUGAGGCUCGAAAGCGUGGGGAGCAAA
RNAcentral lists this ribosomal RNA (400 nucleotides) under uncultured bacterium. RNAcentral's name for it is "bacterial SSU rRNA". It matches the Rfam family "Bacterial small subunit ribosomal RNA", at positions 355 to 772 of the family's 1533-position model. The record is from RNAcentral.